RNAcentral lists this non-coding RNA (28 nucleotides) under Mus musculus (house mouse). Lineage: Eukaryota; Metazoa; Chordata; Mammalia; Rodentia; Muridae. The record is from RNAcentral.
UAUGGCAGCACAAAACAAAAUCACUCCC